RNAcentral lists this long non-coding RNA (1083 nucleotides) under Oncorhynchus mykiss (rainbow trout). RNAcentral describes it as "lncRNA (ENSOMYG00000064948.1)". Lineage: Eukaryota; Metazoa; Chordata; Actinopteri; Salmoniformes; Salmonidae. The record is from RNAcentral.
GGAAAAAUAAGAAAACUGCACACUGCUCUGUCUAGUAUCACUGCGCUGGCUAGUAUCACUGCGCUGGCUAGUAUCACUGCUCUGGCUAGUAUCACUGCUCUGGCUAGUAUCACUGCUCUGGCUAGUAUCACUGCGCUGGCUAGUAUCACUGCGCUGGCUAGUAUCACUGCUCUGGCUAGUAUCACUGCGCUGGCUAGUAUCACUGCUCUGGCUAGUAUCACUGCUCUGGCUAGUAUCACUGCUCUGGCUAGUAUCACUGCGCUGGCUAGUAUCACUGCGCUGGCUAGUAUCACUGCUCUGGCUAGUAUCACUGCUCUGGCUAGUAUCACUGCUCUGGCUAGUAUCACUGCUCUGGCUAGUAUCACUGCUCUGGCUAGUAUCACUGCUCUGGCUAGUAUCACUGCUCUGGCUAGUAUCACUGCUCUGGCUAGUAUCACUGCGCUGGCUAGUAUCACUGCUCUGGCUAGUAUCACUGCUCUGGCUAGUAUCACUGCUCUGGCUAGUAUCACUGCGCUGGCUAGUAUCACUGCUCUGGCUAGUAUCACUGCGCUGGCUAGUAUCACUGCGCUGGCUAGUAUCACUGCGCUGGCUAGUAUCACUGCUCUGGCUAGUAUCACUGCUCUGGCUAGUAUCACUGCUCUGGCUAGUAUCACUGCUCUGGCUAGUAUCACUGCUCUGGCUAGUAUCACUGCGCUGGCUAGUAUCACUGCUCUGGCUAGUAUCACUGCUCUGGCUAGUAUCACUGCGCUGGCUAGUAUCACUGCUCUGGCUAGUAUCACUGCGCUGGCUAGUAUCACUGCUCUGGCUAGUAUCACUGCGCUGGCUAGUAUCACUGCGCUGGCUAGUAUCACUGCUCUGGCUAGUAUCACUGCUCUGGCUAGUAUCACUGCUCUGGCUAGUAUCACUGCUCUGGCUAGUAUCACUGCGCUGGCUAGUAUCACUGCUCUGGCUAGUAUCACUGCGCUGGCUAGUAUCACUGCUCUGGCUAGUAUCACUGCUCUGGCUAGUAUCACUGCUCUGGCUAGUAUCACUGCGCUGGCUAGUAUCACUGCUCUCUGGCUAGUAUCACUGCUCUCUGGCUAG